Long non-coding RNA from Zalophus californianus (California sea lion), 1258 nucleotides. RefSeq lists it as uncharacterized. The record is from RefSeq and is a predicted model, not a curated record. The transcript is spliced from 3 exons. NCBI's taxonomy places the organism in Eukaryota, Metazoa, Chordata, Mammalia, Carnivora, Otariidae.
GUUAGCCAAAUAGUGGAUAAAUUAAGCAAGGGAAACAGACAGCUCCCCUCUCGGUGAACUUUUUUCCCCCAGCUAACCUGCUCCACACCCACUCAGGUGGGAGCAUCUCCCGCCCCGUGGCUGUCACCUCUCAGGGGGGUUGUCACCCGCCUCUUCCCCCAGCCACCACCACGACCACCCGAGGCGACCGGGUGAGGAUGGAGCCCUCUGGCUCCCAGGCCAUCGGUCCGGUGAGGAGCUGCUCUCGUCUCGCCUGCCCAGCCUGAAAUUUGAACUCCUGCACCCCCCGCCCUGCCCUCCCCCCACCCAGCACCCUCACCCUGAGAGGGUCGCACGAUUCUGGCAGACCCGGCACGUGCCCUUGACGGGGCCGGAGACUCUUAACGGUGGGGCCAGAGUUGUUCUUUCCUGAAAAUGGCCCUAGAGAUUUAGGGCAGGAUCUGCAGCGGGACCCCUCACCCCAGACCUCCUUCUCUUGGCUUGUUUCUGGCCUGAGCCACACCUUACGGGGACCAGCUCCAUCUUCGGGGGCAAGGUAAGAGGCCUUCUCUAUGGCGAAGCGGGCGUGAGGGGUCCUCCAAGCAAUGGCCAUUGCCCCAGGCUCGGUGCCGCAAAUAGGUCUGUGCCAGGUCUCAUGGACAGACACAGCCUCAUGGGUCAUCAGGCUACAAAGUGUGUGCCAGGGGAGGCCACCGGUGUUGGGCAGAGCCCAGGGAGCAUCACCAGGAAGGCAGUCUGCGGAAGAGCUGAAGGAGGUCCUGAGGACGGUCACCGGGCUGUCUCCUCCCACUGUCCCAUUCUCCGGUCCAGCCUGGAUGCAUAGACGGUGCUCGGAAGAAAUGCGCGACCCUAACGCGCAGUUCCUGGGCCAGGGGCUUCCCAGAGCAGAUGGUCCGCCCAUGGGCUCAUUGUUCUAAAGUAUUUCUUUAGUAUUAUUAAGAUGGUGUCGUGUCAAGAAAGAAGAAAAUGAAAAAAAAAUUGGGCACUCACCCAUUGCCUGAGCAAGUACCAUCUUCCUGCCUGCAAAUGGUCCUGGGACUCAGCUCAGCACACACAAAACGUCAAAUUUGCAGGCUUCUGUGUGCAAGUCUUGAAUUUGGGGGAUAUAACGGUAAAUAAAAUAAAUAUGUCCCUGCCCCAGUGGAACGCACAGUUUAUGGGGAGACACACACUGGCUAACAGCACAUUGUCAGUGAAUAUUUACUGAGCAUCUACUGUGUACCAGCCUGUCUGCUGGCGGCUGGGGACAUCCAAGUGA